RNAcentral lists this ribosomal RNA (464 nucleotides) under uncultured bacterium. Its description in RNAcentral is "partial 16S ribosomal RNA". It matches the Rfam family "Bacterial small subunit ribosomal RNA", at positions 28 to 506 of the family's 1533-position model. The record is from RNAcentral.
GACGAACGCUGGCGGCGUGCUUAACACAUGCAAGUCGAACGGAAAGGCCCUGCUUGCAGGGUACUCGAGUGGCGAACGGGUGAGUAACACGUGGGUGAUCUGCCCUGCACUUCGGGAUAAGCCUGGGAAACUGGGUCUAAUACCGGAUAGGAGCCAUUUUUAGUGUGAUGGUUGGAAAGUUUUUUCGGUGUAGGAUGAGCUCGCGGCCUAUCAGCUUGUUGGUGGGGUAAUGGCCUACCAAGGCGGCGACGGGUAGCCGGCCUGAGAGGGUGGACGGCCACAUUGGGACUGAGAUACGGCCCAGACUCCUACGGGAGGCAGCAGUGGGGAAUAUUGCACAAUGGGCGCAAGCCUGAUGCAGCGACGCCGCGUGGGGGAUGACGGCCUUCGGGUUGUAAACUCCUUUCGCUAGGGACGAAGCUUUUUGUGACGGUACCUAGAUAAGAGGCACCGGCUAACUACGU